This 410-nucleotide ribosomal RNA is filed under the name uncultured microorganism. RNAcentral's name for it is "bacterial SSU rRNA". It matches the Rfam family "Bacterial small subunit ribosomal RNA", at positions 9 to 416 of the family's 1533-position model. The record is from RNAcentral.
GAGUUUGAUCCUGGCUCAGAUUGAACGCUGGCGGCAUGCCUUACACAUGCAAGUCGAACGGCAGCAUGAUCUAGCUCGCUAGAUUGAUGGCGAGUGGCGAACGGGUGAGUAAUACAUCGGAACGUGCCCUGUAGUGGGGGAUAACUAGUCGAAAGAUUAGCUAAUACCGCAUACGACCUGAGGGUGAAAGUGGGGGACCGCAAGGCCUCAUGCUAUAGGAGCGGCGAUGUCUGAUUAGCUAGUUGGUGGGGUAAAGGCCCGACCAAGGCGACGAUCAGUAGCUGGUCUGAGAGGACGAUCAGCCACACUGGGACUGAGACACGGCCCAGACUCCUACGGGAGGCAGCAGUGGGGAAUUUUGGACAAUGGCGAAAGCCCGAUCCAGCAAUGCCGCGUGUGUGAAGAAGGCC